Molecule: non-coding RNA, 119 nt
Organism: Daucus carota subsp. sativus
Lineage: Eukaryota; Viridiplantae; Streptophyta; Magnoliopsida; Apiales; Apiaceae
Source: Rfam
UGGUGCGAUCAUACAUGCACUAAUGCACCGAAUCCCAUCAGAACUCCGAAGUUAAGCGUGCUUUGGCGAGAGUAGUACUAGGAUGGGUGACCCCUUGGGAAGUCCUCUUGUUGCACCAU